GGAGAGGAACGGGUGGUCGAAGGAGAAGAGGGGCAGUCUGCUAGAGGAUAAGAAUGCGGGAGUGUUUACGCGUGGACACUGUGUCUGAUAUUUUAAAUUAGCUCGAACGUCCUUACGGAAGCAUUACCGAAAAGUUAUAGUUGGCCUUUAGUAUUUUGUAUUGUCUUAGGACUUGGAAGUGUAGUUAUCUUUCCUUAGCUACACAGACAGUAAAAGUAAAGGGCUAAAGGUCGGACCAUUUUCAAACCACGGGGGAAGGCUGUUUACAUACAUAUAAUCUACUUUGUCAAUUUUUAAUAUGAGACUCACUCGUCAAAGCAUUUAGACUUUAUCGAGGGAAUAAGGUCUUUCUUUAGGAGAUAAAUAUGAGACAAAUGGUAGUGAGAACAAGAAGGGCACCCAGCGUACCAAUGUGACUUGCUGGGAGUACAACAUAGUAUGCAGUAUCGACCUCUAAUGUCCAGUGUACAGAAUAGGAGAAUACUUUUGUUCAGAGUCACUUUUCAAAAAAAAUAAAAAAAGAAGAAGGAUAUGG
This 535-nucleotide long non-coding RNA is filed under the name Setaria viridis. RNAcentral describes it as "long non-coding RNA (SVIR_LNC000472)". Lineage: Eukaryota; Viridiplantae; Streptophyta; Magnoliopsida; Poales; Poaceae. The record is from RNAcentral.